AGUGAACGCUGGCGGUAGGCCUAACACAUGCAAGUCGAACGGCAGCACAGUAAGAGCUUGCUCUUACGGGUGGCGAGUGGCGGACGGGUGAGGAAUACAUCGGAAUCUACUUUUUCGUGGGGGAUAACGUAGGGAAACUUACGCUAAUACCGCAUACGACCUACGGGUGAAAGCAGGGGAUCUUCGGACCUUGCGCGAUUGAAUGAGCCGAUGUCGGAUUAGCUAGUUGGCGGGGUAAAGGCCCACCAAGGCGACGAUCCGUAGCUGGUCUGAGAAGAUGAUCAGCCACACUGGAACUGAGACACGGUCCAGACUCCUACGGGAGGCAGCAGUGGGGAAUAUUGGACAAUGGGCGCAAGCCUGAUCCAGCCAUACCGCGUGGGUGAAGAAGGCCUUCGGGUUGUAAGGCCCUUUUGUUGGGAAAGAAAAGCAGCAGGUUAAUACCCCGCUGUUCUGACGGUACCCAAAGAAUAAGCACCGGCUAACUUCGUG
This 492-nucleotide ribosomal RNA is filed under the name uncultured bacterium. RNAcentral's name for it is "partial 16S ribosomal RNA". It matches the Rfam family "Bacterial small subunit ribosomal RNA", at positions 29 to 507 of the family's 1533-position model. The record is from RNAcentral.